UACGGAGGGUGCAAGCGUUAUUCGGAAUUACUGGGCGUAAAGCGUGCGCAGGCGGCUUGUUAAGUCUGCUGUGAAAUCCCCGAGCUCAACUUGGGAAUUGCAGUGGAUACUGGCAGGCUGGAGUAUGGUAGAGGAAGGUGGAAUUCCCGGUGUAGCAGUGAAAUGCGUAGAGAUCCGGAAGAACACCGGUGGCGAAGGCGGUCUGCUGGGCAGUUGCUGACACUGAGGCGCGACAGCGUGGGGAGCAAACAGG
This 253-nucleotide ribosomal RNA is filed under the name uncultured bacterium. RNAcentral's name for it is "partial 16S ribosomal RNA". It matches the Rfam family "Bacterial small subunit ribosomal RNA", at positions 524 to 776 of the family's 1533-position model. The record is from RNAcentral.